This 29-nucleotide ribosomal RNA is filed under the name Pseudozyma sp. JS2175. Its description in RNAcentral is "partial 28S ribosomal RNA". Lineage: Eukaryota; Fungi; Basidiomycota; Ustilaginomycetes; Ustilaginales; Ustilaginaceae. The record is from RNAcentral.
AGAUUGGUAGGACUACCCGCUGAACUUAA